GACGAACGCUGGCGGCAUGCCUAACACAUGCAAGUCGAACGAGACCUUCGGGUCUAGUGGCGCACGGGUGCGUAACGCGUGGGAACCUGCCCUUAGGUUCGGAAUAACUCCCCGAAAGGGGUGCUAAUACCGGUUAAUCUCUUCGGACCAAAGAUUUAUCGCCUUUGGAUGGGCCCGCGUUGGAUUAGCUGGUUGGUAGGGUAAAAGCCUACCAAGGGGACGAUCCAUAGCUGGUGUGAUAGGAUGACCAGCCACACUGGGACUGAGACACGGCCCAGACUCCUACGGGAGGGAGCAGUGGGGAAUAUUGGACAAUGGGCGAAAGCCUGAUCCAGCAAUGCCGCGUGAGUGAUGAAGGCCUUAGUGUUGUAAAGCUCUUUUACCCGGGAUGAUAAUGACAGUACCGGGAGAAUAAGCACCGGCUAACUCCGUG
This 433-nucleotide ribosomal RNA is filed under the name uncultured bacterium. RNAcentral describes it as "partial 16S ribosomal RNA". It matches the Rfam family "Bacterial small subunit ribosomal RNA", at positions 28 to 507 of the family's 1533-position model. The record is from RNAcentral.